UACGUAGGGGGCAAGCGUUUAUUCGGAAUUAUUGGGCGUAAAGGGCGCGUAGGCGGCUUUGCAAGUGGCGGGUGAAAUCCCUCGGCUUAACCGAGGAACUGCCUGCCAGACUGUGAGGCUUGAGACCGGGGAGAGGUGAGUGGAAUUCCCAGUGUAGCGGUGAAAUGCGUAGAUAUUGGGAGGAACACCAGUGGCGAAGGCGGGCUCACUGGACCGGAACUGGACGCUGAGGCGCGAAAGCGUGGGGAGCAAACAGG
Molecule: ribosomal RNA, 257 nt
Filed under: uncultured bacterium
Lineage: Bacteria
Description: partial 16S ribosomal RNA
Rfam family: Bacterial small subunit ribosomal RNA
Source: RNAcentral